This 500-nucleotide ribosomal RNA is filed under the name uncultured Glomeromycotina. RNAcentral describes it as "partial small subunit ribosomal RNA". It matches the Rfam family "Eukaryotic small subunit ribosomal RNA", at positions 591 to 1092 of the family's 1831-position model. Lineage: Eukaryota; Fungi; Glomeromycota. The record is from RNAcentral.
CCAAUAGCGUAUAUUAAAGUUGUUGCAGUUAAAAAGCUCGUAGUUGAAUUUCGGGGUCAGUAGGUUGGUCAUGCCUCCGGUAUGUACUGGUCUCACUGAUUCCUCCUUCCUGAUGAGCCGUAAUGCCAUUAAUUUGGUGUUGCGAGGAAUCUGGACUGUUACUUUGAAAAAAUUAGAGUGUUUAAAGCAGGCUAACGCUUGAAUACAUUAGCAUGGAAUAAUGAAAUAGGACGUUUGAUUCUAUUUUGUUGGUUUCUAGGAUCGACGUAAUGAUUAAUAGGGAUAGUUGGGAGCAUUAGUAUUCAAUUGUCAGAGGUGAAGUUCUUGGAUUUAUUGAAGACUAACUACUGCGAAAGCAUUUGCCAAGGAUGUUUUCAUUAAUCAAGAACGAAAGUUAGGGGAUCGAAGACGAUCAGAUACCGUCGUAGUCUUAACCAUAAACUAUGCCGACUAGGGAUCGGAUGAUGUUAAUUUUAUAAUGACUCAUUCGGCGCCUUACG